RNAcentral lists this ribosomal RNA (421 nucleotides) under uncultured bacterium. RNAcentral's name for it is "partial 16S ribosomal RNA". It matches the Rfam family "Bacterial small subunit ribosomal RNA", at positions 361 to 774 of the family's 1533-position model. The record is from RNAcentral.
AUCUUCCGCAAUGGACGCAAGUCUGACGGAGCAACGCCGCGUGAGUGAUGAAGGUUUUCGGAUCGUAAAACUCUGUUGUUAGGGAAGAACAAGUAUCGGAGUCACUGCCGGUACCUUGACUGUACCUGACGAGAACGCCCCGGCUCACUACGUCCCAGCAGCCGCGGUAAUACGUAGGUGGCAAGCGUUGUCCGGAUUUAUUGGGCGUAAAGCGCGGGAAGGAGGUCGUUUAAGUCUGAUGUGAAAUCUUACAGCGUAACGGUAAGCGGUCAUUGGAAACUGGGAGACUUGAGGGCAGAAGAGGAGAGUGGAAUUCCAUGUGUAGCGGUGAAAGGCGUAGAGAUAUGGAGGAACACCAGUGGCGAAGGCGACUCUCUGGUCUGCAACUGACGCUGAGGCGCGAAAGCGUGGGGAUCAAACA